This 311-nucleotide RNase P RNA is filed under the name Moraxellaceae bacterium. RNAcentral describes it as "RNase P RNA component class A". It matches the Rfam family "Bacterial RNase P class A". Rfam says of the family: Ribonuclease P (RNase P) is a ubiquitous endoribonuclease, found in archaea, bacteria and eukarya as well as chloroplasts and mitochondria. Its best characterised activity is the generation of mature 5'-ends of tRNAs by cleaving the 5'-leader elements of precursor-tRNAs. The record is from RNAcentral. Lineage: Bacteria; Pseudomonadati; Pseudomonadota; Gammaproteobacteria; Moraxellales; Moraxellaceae.
GGAGUCGGCCGGACGGUCGCUGCUGCCGCAAGGCAGGGGAGGAAAGUCCGGGCUCCACAGGGCAGAGUGCCAGGUAACGCCUGGGCGGCGCGAGCCGACGGANNGUGGCAAGGGUGAAACGGUGCGGUAAGAGCGCACCACGAGUCUGGUAACAGACCGGUACGGCAAACCCCACUCGGAGCAAGACCAAAUAGGGUUCCAUUUGCGCGGCCCGCGCAGGAACCGGGUAGGUUGCUUGAGCCCACUGGUGACGGUGGGCCUAGAGGAAUGAUCGUUCUCGACAGAACCCGGCUUACAGGCCGACUCCACUU